CCUACCACUGGAGCGACGUGCGUACGUGUGGACGUGGGGCUGGGAGAGCAAGGAGGUUGGCAAGCAGGAUGGCUGGGAACUAUGGCUGGAAGCUAUGGCUGGGAGUACGGGAAGCGUGGGCGUGCCGCCGUGCGCCCGUGCGUGCAAAUGCGACGUUGCACCUGCACGGGCGGGCGCAGGAGCGUGCGCAGUGCGUGUGUGAGCGGGGGGUGGCGGGUUCGGCCGGGCGUGUCGCCCGUCGCUGUGUGCCCCAUUGGUGUCUGACCGGGCAUUCAUGCGCUGUUGCACACUUGUUGAUAAUGUCAACAGUGUCACUGAUACGCCCUAGAGAGUCAUGGAUCGCUUGCCCUCAGUACAUAUUGCAUACCGUACUCAACAUUCCUCCUCUGAGCAUUCAACGCGUGGGGAGCUGGGUAUGGGUACGGUAUUCGCCGUAGGGUUUCAGCGGUCAGCGGCCUUGUCCAUGGCCCUAACUGGUGGGUAGUCCGGACCGGGGGUUUGCUUGCGACAGUCGAGCUCACCGUGUCCACGCCACGGUCCACGCAGAGUCGUCCAGGGGUGAUGUCCAUGGCGCAUGUGUCCAUGCCCUAACAAGUCAUGGGAGCGAGCGCAUGGGGGAGAACAUACGGCUUGGUGUGACCGCAGGGACCGUGCAUGUCCUUCAGCUGUGGCCAGCUUUUGUCACCCGAGGGCGUCUUAAUGGACCCGCACGGCACGUCGCCACCCGCACCUGCUAUCAGCUGCCCGUGCUUCCGCACAACCGUGGUGCAUUCACCGUAAGGUCGUGUCCUGGGUAAGGUCGCAGCAUUGUGAUGAGGGCUCAGUUGUCAAAGGGAACUACCUGGCCAGACUCGGCGCGCCCCAGCUUUCUCGCAUUUCCAGUUGUUGCGCAUGUUCGUGUGCGUGCAGUGAAGGCUAAUAACGUGCCUGUGCCCCUCCCCGUGCCCCAGCCCUUCAUCCCCGGAACACUGAUGCUCGCGAUCCAGCACCCCUGGAAUUAUUCGUGUUCCUGGCACCUGGCCCAACUCGUACCGUAUACGUACGUUAGCACGACGAACUUGAUGAUGGCUUGCAAGCACGCGGUCGGCUAGCGGAUCAGAAGUGUACGGCAGUACCCGGUGUGCACGUGCUGGCUGCACAUAUGUGACCCGGUAGUCCUCACUACCACCAAAAACGGUGUCAGCUUGUGAAUGCGUUGAGCCAGUACGGUACCGGCACUCAGUAUGGGUGGCUUUCACCCACAUGACUGGUCAGGGCGUCAGGCACAUAGGCUGCAAUAAUGCUGUGUCGCGGGGCCCAUCCUGAUGCUGGUGGCGGUGUUCGGGCAGUGAACAUGCAGUGGGAGCCGCAAGCGGUGCGGGACGCGGCCAAUUGAAGGUGCUACGGUGAUACCCGGUUCACAGGUCUAGGCACGAGGUCUAUAGGCGUACAUGAGGAUAGUAGACGCAAGCACAGAGGUGAGCCGGUGCGGAGUUGCUGAUGGCGGCGGGGGUGGCCGGUUGCAGCGGCUGCGGUAGGGCCACGCCCGCUGGACCCGGUGGUAUGGUGCUCAACGCCAAGCGCAAGGCGUUCCCGCAGCACGCCGACACGGAGGACUUCCAGGCGGUGCUCGUGUAUAGCUGGAAGCGCUGUGUCGCAGGAACACUGGUCAAGGGACUAGUUGGCUAGCUAGCCAGAGACUUCACAAGAUGCAUGGUGGAAGGUUUCCCCGCACGGUUUCCCCGCCACACGGAGGGUUUCCCCGGAGGGUUUCCCCGCCACAUCAUUACGCUCUGGGCGCCGGAUAGCCAGGCAACAGUACCUGCCAUAUAUAUGGACAUUUGCACCCCGGCUAGAUUGCGUUGCGGGCGGUCGUCAUUGGGCAAGGGUGGCGUUGACCAUGUUGGGCGUGGGUGACCGGGCGACCCGAAAUGUGGGGAGGACGUGGGGGCAGAAAGCGCGCGUCAAAGUAGAUGUCGAAGGCGAUGGGGGACGGAUGGAGAGGGUGGCAGGUAUACAGAGGCGUCGUUCGGGUUACAGGCAGCAGAUGACAGGGUGGGGCGCCAGCUGCGAGGGACCAGUUGAGAGGCAUGUGAUGCAUGACGGGAGUCCAUGGCGGAGGAACUGCGUUUCAGGACGAUGACGGCGGAGGUGGCGGGGUUGGCGGUCUUGGUGAGCACGGGUGAGCAAGGCGGAGGCGAGAGACGGAGUAACAUCCAAACACACUGUAUGGCAGAAAUGAGCGGCCCCCGCCCAGCGAUGCCAGGCAUCAUUUCCAUGGGCACUCGGUGGGCUAAGCUCAGAGGCCUUGAUGCGUAGGCUACCCAUGGGUGUAUAGCCACGGUGUAUAGCCCUGUCG
Molecule: long non-coding RNA, 2338 nt
Filed under: Chlamydomonas reinhardtii
Lineage: Eukaryota; Viridiplantae; Chlorophyta; Chlorophyceae; Chlamydomonadales; Chlamydomonadaceae
Description: long non-coding RNA (CREI_LNC000498)
Source: RNAcentral